Molecule: long non-coding RNA, 959 nt
Organism: Homo sapiens (human)
Lineage: Eukaryota; Metazoa; Chordata; Mammalia; Primates; Hominidae
Gene: MIR646HG
Product: MIR646 host gene
Source: Ensembl
AUUCUGCCGCCCAUUUUACCCGCGGGGAAGCUGAGGCCCAGUGCUGUUUAAUAUCUUACUCAUGUUCACUUGAUGAGAAAGUGACAGAUCUGAGACAAACCCAGAAAGGGACCAGCUUGACGAAGCUUCUGCUUUUGUGACUGUCUCCUAAUGCACCGCCGGCUCCUACAAGCAGGCCCUGGAGAAGCCACUUCACCUCCGCGUCUCAGGCCACUCACCUCCAAAGACAGAUGCAAACUCCGCCUCCCUCCUCGGUGAGAGUUUGAGAUUCCAAAUACGAUUUCUGUGGAGAAAACAAAAAAGGACUCUGUUUUUAAUUCAAAAGGGAGAAGUGAAAUUCUACCUCACUUUUUUAAAAGAAGAGCCUGGAAUUGGCCUAUCCGUCUUUUUCCCCGUUGGAUCACAGAGCAGAAAGGAAGGUGGGCGUUUGUGUUCUGGGUGUUGUCCACGCUGGACGUGCCAGCAUCUCCCACUGAGCCAGAUGUUCCAGGGCUAAGGCCAGUUUCAUUUGAAGGCACAGCCUUACUAUAUCAUCUAAGACCUCUAGUACAGUGUUCAAUGGAACUGGUGAGAAAAGACGUCCUUGCUGUGUUCCUGAUAUGAAGAGGAAAGCAGUCCUUCUCCAUUAAGUAAAGAACAUGGAGGGAGCUGGAGUCCAUUUUCCUAAGUGAACUAACACAGGAACAGAAAACCAAAGACUGUAGGUUCUCACUUAUAAGUGGGAGUUAAAUGGUGAGAACACGUGGAUACAUAGAGUGGAACAACACAUACUGGAGCCUAUUGAAGGGUGGAGGGUGGGAAGAGGGAGAGGAUCCAGAAAAAUAACUAUUGGUACUCAGCUUAAUACCUGGGUGAUGAAAUAAUCUAUACAACAAACCCCCAUGUUACAAGCUUACCUAUACUACAAACUUGUACAUGUACCCCUGAACUUAAAAAUUAAAUUUAAAAAAUUGCUUUUA